Long non-coding RNA from Stegastes partitus (bicolor damselfish), 754 nucleotides. RefSeq lists it as uncharacterized. The record is from RefSeq and is a predicted model, not a curated record. The transcript has 3 exons. Lineage: Eukaryota; Metazoa; Chordata; Actinopteri; Pomacentridae.
CGAUCAGCGACUGGUGAAUCCCUCUGUAUUUAAAUCUAGUUUCUGUUUUGUCAUCUCUGCGCUGGUACAUGUUGAGCAGCAGUGACUGGAGAAGUUAGCAGGCAGCCAUGUGGGAACAGACGACUGGAAAACAGAAUUUGUGAGAUGUUUGGAGUGAAGCAGGGAUCAAUCCAGGGCGAGGCAGACGUCAUAAUGCUUCAACGUCGCCAGAAGGGGGCGACAGAAGUUCCACACUGCUGGUUUAAUAAGUGUCAUCUGGGAUGGCGGUUGAACCUCAUUACGUCUCAAUGAACAAAACGCCUGAACAAGUCAACACUGUUUCACCGGCCCUCAAUCAACCACAAUCACCCACAGCUCUGGACUCACCUGUUCCCAAUCACCUCCUUCCCAUAAAGCUCUUCCCUCCACCCUGCGCCAGGUCGUCAUCCCAUUUUCCAGGUUCACGGCGGCCUGUCGACUUGUCUUCAGCCUGUGUUCCCCCAGCCAGCGUUCUCCUGCCACCGGACUCCGACCUGCCUCCAUCCUGUUUUGCCCCAGCCUGCCUCCCUUUCCCCCCGCUGUAGUUUUAGUUCUGGUUUCUGUGAGUGUUUCUGUUUUCCAGUACAGUUAUUCUGUAUUUUUCUCCAAUUUGUUGAGUUUUCUUUGUAUUUUUUUGAGUUUUUCCAGUUUUGUUAUAUCAGAAAUUCCUGGUUCAGUUUCCAUAGAGUUCAGUUCACUUCCACACUCGCUUGUGUUUCGCUUGUUUUAUUCAUUU